AUUGAACGCUGGCGGCAUGCUUUACACAUGCAAGUCGAACGGUAACAGGUUAAGCUGACGAGUGGCGAACGGGUGAGUAAAGCAUCGGAACGUGCCCAGUAGUGGGGGAUAGCCCGGCGAAAGCCGGAUUAAUACCGCAUCCGACCUAUGGGUGAAAGGGGGGGAUCGCAAGACCUCUCGCUAUUGCAGCGGCCGAUGUCAGAUUAGGUAGUUGGUGGGGUAAAGGCCUACCAAGCCGACGAUCUGUAGCUGGUCUGAGAGGACGACCAGCCACACUGGGACUGAGACACGGCCCAGACUCCUACGGGAGGCAGCAGUGGGGAAUUUUGGACAAUGGGCGCAAGCCUGAUCCAGCCAUGCCGCGUGCGGGAAGAAGGCCUUCGGGUUGUAAACCGCUUUUGUCAGGGAAGAAAUCCUUUGGGUUAAUACCUCGGGGGGAUGACGGUACCUGAAGAAUAAGCACCGGCUAACUACGUGCCAGCCGCCGCAGUAA
RNAcentral lists this ribosomal RNA (493 nucleotides) under uncultured bacterium. RNAcentral's name for it is "partial 16S ribosomal RNA". It matches the Rfam family "Bacterial small subunit ribosomal RNA", at positions 30 to 523 of the family's 1533-position model. The record is from RNAcentral.